AAGAGACAGCAGUAGCCGCGGGAAUACGGAGGGUGCAAGCGUUAAUCGGAAUUACUGGGCGUAAAGCGCACGCAGGCGGUCUGACAAGUCAGAUGUGAAAUCCCCGGGCUCAACCUGGGAACUGCAUUUGUGACUGUAUAGCUAGAGUACGGCAGAGGGGGAUGGAAUUCCGCGUGUAGCAGUGAAAUGCGUAGAUAUGCGGAGGAACACCGAUGGCGAAGGCAAUCCCCUGGGCCUGUACUGACGCUCAUGCACGAAAGCGUGGGGAGCAAACAGGAUUAGAUACCCCGGUAGUCCCUGUCUCUUAUAC
RNAcentral lists this ribosomal RNA (310 nucleotides) under uncultured bacterium. Its description in RNAcentral is "partial 16S ribosomal RNA". It matches the Rfam family "Bacterial small subunit ribosomal RNA", at positions 503 to 807 of the family's 1533-position model. The record is from RNAcentral.